GGGGGGGAAUAGAACAGGAGAUUGAAAAUAGGGGAUUAGCUCGUAUAGUGAACGAAAACAGUGAGAAAGAGGGGGAACGAAAAGCAAAAUCACAAAAUUAUUGGGGGAAAAGCUCCAAUCUCGCCCCGCAACCCGAGGUUUGCUUUCCAGUUGAGCUGGGUCUGUUCAGUUCCGUUCGUGAUUCCGGCGCUGCUACGUUUCCUGUUAGUCCCGUCGAUUAGCAUUUUCAGAUUUUUUCUCAUACAAGUGUGGAUCUACUUAUCGGAGAGUUUGGGCAUGACAGACGCCUUAGGACCAUCCAGUCAGGAGUUUGCUUAAGGAGAUUUUUUUUAGUUAUUAUGUUUUAAGUCUGUUGUUUUUUUAUGUCGUCUUUUACCUUCUAGUUUUGUACAGUAAUGUUGGGUCUUUCGUUAUUGUAUUUCCUAUUCUGUAUUAGAAAAAGAUGUGUUAUAGAUCAAAAAUCCAAAAAAAGGAUAUUUUGCGUUUUUA
Nicotiana tabacum (common tobacco) is the source of this 489-nucleotide non-coding RNA. The record is from RefSeq and is a predicted model, not a curated record. Lineage: Eukaryota; Viridiplantae; Streptophyta; Magnoliopsida; Solanales; Solanaceae.